GUUAGGAAUAUUGGACAAUGGGCGCAAGCCUGAUCCAGCCAUGCCGCGUGAGUGAUGAAGGCCUUCGGGUUGUAAAGCUCUUUAGUCCACGAAUAUAAUGACUGUAGUGGAAGAAUAAGCCCCGGCUAACUUCGUGCCAGCAGCCGCGGUAAUACGAAGGGGGCGAGCGUUAUUCGGAAUCACUGGGCGUAAAGCGUGCGUAGGCUGUUUUGUAAGUCAGAAGUGAAAGCCCAGGGCUUAACCCUGGAAUUGCUUUAGAAACUACAAGACUCGAAUUCGGGAGAGGAUAGCGGAAUUGUCAGUGUAGCAGUGAAAUGCGUAGAUAUUGACAGGAACACCAGUGGCGCAAGCGGCUAUCUGGACCGACAUUGACGCUGAGGCACGAAAGCGUGGGGAUCAAACAGGAUUAGAUACCCCGGUAGUCC
Molecule: ribosomal RNA, 425 nt
Filed under: uncultured bacterium
Lineage: Bacteria
Description: partial 16S ribosomal RNA
Rfam family: Bacterial small subunit ribosomal RNA
Source: RNAcentral